UCCCUCCUGGCUCAGACGGUAAAGAAUCUGCCUGCAAUGCAGAAGACCUAGGUUCGACCCCUGGGUUGGGAU
RNAcentral lists this transfer RNA (72 nucleotides) under Bos indicus x Bos taurus (hybrid cattle). It matches the Rfam family "tRNA". Rfam says of the family: Transfer RNA (tRNA) molecules are approximately 80 nucleotides in length. Their secondary structure includes four short double-helical elements and three loops (D, anti-codon, and T loops). Further hydrogen bonds mediate the characteristic L-shaped molecular structure. tRNAs have two regions of fundamental functional importance: the anti-codon, which is responsible for specific mRNA codon recognition, and the 3' end, to which the tRNAs corresponding amino acid is attached (by aminoacyl-tRNA synthetases). tRNAs cope with the degeneracy of the genetic code in two manners: having more than one tRNA (with a specific anti-codon) for a particular amino acid; and 'wobble' base-pairing, i.e. permitting non-standard base-pairing at the 3rd anti-codon position. The record is from Rfam by way of RNAcentral. RNAcentral also lists the same sequence under 2 other names. Lineage: Eukaryota; Metazoa; Chordata; Mammalia; Artiodactyla; Bovidae.